UGGGGAUAUUGCUUAGUGGUAGAAU
This 25-nucleotide non-coding RNA is filed under the name Cricetulus griseus (Chinese hamster). The record is from RNAcentral. Lineage: Eukaryota; Metazoa; Chordata; Mammalia; Rodentia; Cricetidae.